Molecule: long non-coding RNA, 663 nt
Organism: Culex quinquefasciatus (southern house mosquito)
Lineage: Eukaryota; Metazoa; Arthropoda; Insecta; Diptera; Culicidae
Exons: 3
Source: RefSeq, a predicted model, not a curated record
CUGAGAAGGGCCUUUCAGAGAUUCGCGCUUUCUUCAACGGAGACCGCGCCAGUCAAGUACGACCAGCAGGGCGCGAAACACGAGGAGUUUGCGGAACUUUUUCCGGGACACUGGCGUGGCGGACCGGUUCGAGGAGUUUCCGAUGCUGCGAGAUAAGAUCCUGCGGACAACAAAUUGAUCUCCAGCAACUUUUGCGAUGUUGACCACACGAUGACGUGGGAACGGAUGAGAAGAUCAGGACGAGACCAUUUCAACUUUGAACGUGAUGGACACGGACCAGUCGUUCUUCUGGUAGUUCGACUCGAAGGUGUCAAAGAUAACUCAGCUUGGCAACUAGUAACGUGCUACAGACGUAUGUAGCCCAAACGGCGGGUUCGGUCGUUGUCAGCGACACCGGCCGAAGGCGCAUUUAAUUGAGAACACGGUUCCGGCAUCUCCGGGAAGGCCGAGACACGCCAUGGAAAUCCGUCCUCCGGAGGAUCAGUUUCUCAUGCCAACAUGUUUGGAGGUGGAAUCUGGCCAAAGUUGAGAACAGUUUUGGUCGGUCUUGAGCCUGUACCCUCGUCGAACACGAACUUGGUCGCUCUCAAUCCGGCGAUCCACGACCUGACGGCCUUAACCCGGUACGCUCGUUGAAAUCAUUCACCAUCUGCGAAUUCGGAC